RNAcentral lists this ribosomal RNA (457 nucleotides) under uncultured bacterium. RNAcentral's name for it is "bacterial SSU rRNA". It matches the Rfam family "Bacterial small subunit ribosomal RNA", at positions 340 to 786 of the family's 1533-position model. The record is from RNAcentral.
UACGGAAGGCAGCAGUGGGGAAUAUUGCACAAUGGGCGAAAGCCUGAUGCAGCUAUGCCGCGUGUAUGAAGAAGGCCUUAGGGUUGUAAAGUACUUUCAUCGGGGAGGAAAAAACAAAACUAAUAAUUUUAUUUCUUGACGUUACCCGAAAAAGAAGCACCGGCUAACUCCGUGCCAGCAGCCGCGGUAAUACGGAGGGUGCUAGCGUUAAUCAGAAUUACUGGGCGUAAAGAGCACGUAGGUGGUUUUUUUAAAGUCAGAUGUGAAAUCCCUGGGCUUAACCUGGAACUGCAUUUUGAAACUGAAAUACUAGAGUAUCGUAGAGGGAGGUAGAAUUCUAGGUGUAGCGGUGAAACUGCGUAGAUAUCUGGAGGAAUACCUGUGGCGAAAGCGGCCUCCUAAACGAAUACUGACACUGAGGUGCGAAAGCGUGGGGAGCAAACAGGGAUUAGAUACC